Molecule: long non-coding RNA, 641 nt
Organism: Eriocheir sinensis (Chinese mitten crab)
Lineage: Eukaryota; Metazoa; Arthropoda; Malacostraca; Decapoda; Varunidae
Exons: 4
Source: RefSeq, a predicted model, not a curated record
GAAUAAAAGAAAACUGAGUAUUAGACAUCUGGUGGGCUGCAGGAAGGGUUGGGGGCGAGGCUGUGUAUAUAUGGCUAAAAGUGUUUGCAAGACACUCCGCCAUGCCACUGGGAUCACUAACUGUAGACCCGAGACUCGUCUGGAGCCCAGGAAGAAGCUUGUGUCUGAGUACGAGUCGCUGAUGGAAGUGGCGGCGCUGUCAGCCAGAGUCCAGCUGGCCACCUCUCCGGGCCCAUAGUCGUGGGGGGCAUCUUGGCGGAGAGUACUGUAGUGUUCAUGGAGCUCCUGGCUCAAAUUACAAGCAAAAGUACUUGAAGGGCGGGAACUUCAGGCUGCUGAGUACCCCCUUGGCCGAGGGAGGGGACCAGGCCUUCCUCACACCUACUUUACUCAGGUCAACCACAAGAGUCUGGACUUCCAGAUCAAGUACGGGUCCAGCCUGCAGCACCUCCACAGGGUAGUGAGCCAGCUGGAGGCCCACCUGGAGCAGUCUGGCAGCCUCAGCACCCUGCUGGCCCUCGUGGAGCAGCUCACCUACAGGCUGGGCCAGCUGGCGCCAGGGCAGGCCGAGGAGGCACACCCACCGGCGCUGGAGUCACACACAGACACACUGACCAGCAAGCAGCAGUUGAUCUCAAAAA